RNAcentral lists this ribosomal RNA (1383 nucleotides) under uncultured bacterium. RNAcentral describes it as "bacterial SSU rRNA". It matches the Rfam family "Bacterial small subunit ribosomal RNA", at positions 18 to 1396 of the family's 1533-position model. The record is from RNAcentral.
CCUGGCUCAGGAUGAACGCUAGCUACAGGCUUAACACAUGCAAGUCGAGGGGCAGCAUGGUCUUAGCUUGCUAAGGCCGAUGGCGACCGGCGCACGGGUGAGUAACACGUAUCCAACCUGCCGUCUACUCUUGGACAGCCUUCUGAAAGGAAGAUUAAUACAAGAUGGCAUCAUGAGUCCGCAUGUUCACAUGAUUAAAGGUAUUCCGGUAGACGAUGGGGAUGCGUUCCAUUAGAUAGUAGGCGGGGUAACGGCCCACCUAGUCUUCGAUGGAUAGGGGUUCUGAGAGGAAGGUCCCCCACAUUGGAACUGAGACACGGUCCAAACUCCUACGGGAGGCAGCAGUGAGGAAUAUUGGUCAAUGGGCGAGAGCCUGAACCAGCCAAGUAGCGUGAAGGAUGACUGCCCUAUGGGUUGUAAACUUCUUUUAUAAAGGAAUAAAGUCGGGUAUGGAUACCCGUUUGCAUGUACUUUAUGAAUAAGGAUCGGCUAACUCCGUGCCAGCAGCCGCGGUAAUACGGAGGAUCCGAGCGUUAUCCGGAUUUAUUGGGUUUAAAGGGAGCGUAGAUGGAUGUUUAAGUCAGUUGUGAAAGUUUGCGGCUCAACCGUAAAAUUGCAGUUGAUACUGGAUAUCUUGAGUGCAGUUGAGGCAGGCGGAAUUCGUGGUGUAGCGGUGAAAUGCUUAGAUAUCACGAAGAACUCCGAUUGCGAAGGCAGCCUGCUAAGCUGCAACUGACAUUGAGGCUCGAAAGUGUGGGUAUCAAACAGGAUUAGAUACCCUGGUAGUCCACACGGUAAACGAUGAAUACUCGCUGUUUGCGAUAUACGGCAAGCGGCCAAGCGAAAGCGUUAAGUAUUCCACCUGGGGAGUACGCCGGCAACGGUGAAACUCAAAGGAAUUGACGGGGGCCCGCACAAGCGGAGGAACAUGUGGUUUAAUUCGAUGAUACGCGAGGAACCUUACCCGGGCUUAAAUUGCAGAUGAAUUACGGUGAAAGCCGUAAGCCGCAAGGCAUCUGUGAAGGUGCUGCAUGGUUGUCGUCAGCUCGUGCCGUGAGGUGUCGGCUUAAGUGCCAUAACGAGCGCAACCCUUGUUGUCAGUUACUAACAGGUUCCGCUGAGGACUCUGACAAGACUGCCAUCGUAAGAUGUGAGGAAGGUGGGGAUGACGUCAAAUCAGCACGGCCCUUACGUCCGGGGCUACACACGUGUUACAAUGGGGGGUACAGAGGGCCGCUACCACGCGAGUGGAUGCCAAUCCCCAAAACCUCUCUCAGUUCGGACUGGAGUCUGCAACCCGACUCCACGAAGCUGGAUUCGCUAGUAAUCGCGCAUCAGCCACGGCGCGGUGAAUACGUUCCCGGGCCUUGCACACAACGGCCG